This 1745-nucleotide ribosomal RNA is filed under the name Salmonella enterica. RNAcentral's name for it is "partial 23S ribosomal RNA". It matches the Rfam family "Bacterial large subunit ribosomal RNA", at positions 1211 to 2925 of the family's 2925-position model. Lineage: Bacteria; Pseudomonadati; Pseudomonadota; Gammaproteobacteria; Enterobacterales; Enterobacteriaceae. The record is from RNAcentral.
ACUCAGGUGUUGUUGGGUAGGGGAGCGUUCUGUAAGCCUGCGAAGGUGGCCUGUGAGGGUUGCUGGAGGUAUCAGAAGUGCGAAUGCUGACAUAAGUAACGAUAAAGCGGGUGAAAAGCCCGCUCGCCGGAAGACCAAGGGUUCCUGUCCAACGUUAAUCGGGGCAGGGUGAGUCGACCCCUAAGGCGAGGCCGAAAGGCGUAGUCGAUGGGAAACGGGUUAAUAUUCCCGUACUUGGUGUUACUGCGAAGGGGGGACGGAGAAGGCUAUGUUGGCCGGGCGACGGUUGUCCCGGUUUAAGCGUGUAGGUGUGUGUUCCAGGUAAAUCCGGUUCACUUUAACACUGAGGCGUGAUGACGAGGCACUACGGUGCUGAAGCAACAAAUGCCCUGCUUCCAGGAAAAGCCUCUAAGCAUCAGGUAACAUCAAAUCGUACCCCAAACCGACACAGGUGGUCAGGUAGAGAAUACCAAGGCGCUUGAGAGAACUCGGGUGAAGGAACUAGGCAAAAUGGUGCCGUAACUUCGGGAGAAGGCACGCUGACACGUAGGUGAAGUGAUUUACUCAUGGAGCUGAAGUCAGUCGAAGAUACCAGCUGGCUGCAACUGUUUAUUAAAAACACAGCACUGUGCAAACACGAAAGUGGACGUAUACGGUGUGACGCCUGCCCGGUGCCGGAAGGUUAAUUGAUGGGGUCAGCGCAAGCGAAGCUCCUGAUCGAAGCCCCGGUAAACGGCGGCCGUAACUAUAACGGUCCUAAGGUAGCGAAAUUCCUUGUCGGGUAAGUUCCGACCUGCACGAAUGGCGUAAUGAUGGCCAGGCUGUCUCCACCCGAGACUCAGUGAAAUUGAACUCGCUGUGAAGAUGCAGUGUACCCGCGGCAAGACGGAAAGACCCCGUGAACCUUUACUAUAGCUUGACACUGAACAUUGAGCCUUGAUGUGUAGGAUAGGUGGGAGGCUUUGAAGUGUGGACGCCAGUCUGCAUGGAGCCGACCUUGAAAUACCACCCUUUAAUGUUUGAUGUUCUAACGUGGACCCGUGAUCCGGGUUGCGGACAGUGUCUGGUGGGUAGUUUGACUGGGGCGGUCUCCUCCUAAAGAGUAACGGAGGAGCACGAAGGUUGGCUAAUCCUGGUCGGACAUCAGGAGGUUAGUGCAAUGGCAUAAGCCAGCUUGACUGCGAGCGUGACGGCGCGAGCAGGUGCGAAAGCAGGUCAUAGUGAUCCGGUGGUUCUGAAUGGAAGGGCCAUCGCUCAACGGAUAAAAGGUACUCCGGGGAUAACAGGCUGAUACCGCCCAAGAGUUCAUAUCGACGGCGGUGUUUGGCACCUCGAUGUCGGCUCAUCACAUCCUGGGGCUGAAGUAGGUCCCAAGGGUAUGGCUGUUCGCCAUUUAAAGUGGUACGCGAGCUGGGUUUAGAACGUCGUGAGACAGUUCGGUCCCUAUCUGCCGUGGGCGCUGGAGAACUGAGGGGGGCUGCUCCUAGUACGAGAGGACCGGAGUGGACGCAUCACUGGUGUUCGGGUUGUCAUGCCAAUGGCACUGCCCGGUAGCUAAAUGCGGAAGAGAUAAGUGCUGAAAGCAUCUAAGCACGAAACUUGCCCCGAGAUGAGUUCUCCCUGAGACUUUAAGUCUCCUGAAGGAACGUUGAAGACGACGACGUUGAUAGGCCGGGUGUGUAAGCGCAGCGAUGCGUUGAGCUAACCGGUACUAAUGAACCGUGAGGCUUAACCUUACAACGCCG